GGCCUCGUGGCGCAAUUGGAUAGCGCGACGACCUCCUAAGUCGUAGGUUGUGGGUUCAAAUCCCGCCGGGGCCACCA
Molecule: transfer RNA, 77 nt
Filed under: Xylella fastidiosa
Lineage: Bacteria; Pseudomonadati; Pseudomonadota; Gammaproteobacteria; Lysobacterales; Lysobacteraceae
Also listed under: 13 other names
Description: tRNA_Arg_CCT
Rfam family: tRNA
About the family: Transfer RNA (tRNA) molecules are approximately 80 nucleotides in length.
Source: RNAcentral